UCCUCCCUCAAACCUCGUGUUUGGUGUUGGACCGCGUUGGUCGAGCGGCCAACUGGUCUUAAAGACAAUGACGGCGUCCGUGGGACCCUCGGUGCAACGAGCUUUUAACGAGCACGCGUCGAGUUUCAAGGACCCUCCGGGCCGGUCUUGACCUCUAUCUUCUUA
Molecule: unclassified non-coding RNA, 165 nt
Filed under: uncultured Chaetothyriales
Lineage: Eukaryota; Fungi; Ascomycota; Eurotiomycetes; Chaetothyriales
Description: sequence contains ITS2
Source: RNAcentral